This 372-nucleotide ribosomal RNA is filed under the name uncultured bacterium. RNAcentral's name for it is "bacterial SSU rRNA". It matches the Rfam family "Bacterial small subunit ribosomal RNA", at positions 523 to 898 of the family's 1533-position model. The record is from RNAcentral.
AUACGUAGGGGGCGAGCGUUGUCCGGAAUUACUGGGCGUAAAGGGUACGCAGGCGGCCAUGUAAGUCAGAUGUGAAAGGUCACGGCUCAACCGUGGUAAGCAUUUGAAACUGUGUGGCUUGAGUUAAGGAGAGGAAAGUGGAAUUCCUGGUGUAGCGGUGAAAUGCGUAGAUAUCAGGAGGAAUACCAGUGGCGAAGGCGACUUUCUGGACUUAAACUGACGCUGAGGUACGAAAGCGUGGGGAGCAAACAGGAUUAGAUACCCUGGUAGUCCACGCCGUAAACGAUGAGUGCUAGGUGUCGGAGGGAGACUUUCGGUGCCGCAGUUAACACAUUAAGUAUUCCGCCUGGGGAGUACGGUCGCAAGACUAAA